Molecule: transfer RNA, 72 nt
Filed under: Camelus bactrianus (Bactrian camel)
Lineage: Eukaryota; Metazoa; Chordata; Mammalia; Artiodactyla; Camelidae
Also listed under: 2 other names
Rfam family: tRNA
About the family: Transfer RNA (tRNA) molecules are approximately 80 nucleotides in length. Their secondary structure includes four short double-helical elements and three loops (D, anti-codon, and T loops).
Source: Rfam by way of RNAcentral
GAAGGUAUAGCUUAGUGGUAGAGUGUAUGUUUAGCAUGCAUGAUGUCCUGGCUUCCAUCCCCAGGACCUCCA